AAUAACGAAUAUAUAAAGCCAGUAGAGACAUGAUCUCAAAAAAAAAAAAAAAAUCCACGAAUGAAUCUGAAAUAACCCGAAAACUAAUCGAAAUUCGUAUUUAUCUUAUCUGUUAUCGGAAUACCUCACAAUCUCGCCGCGGUUGUGUGUCUCAACAGCUAUAGUCCGGAGUCCUUUACCAACCAUGAGGAAGAAAAGCGGGAGGCAAGUCAAGCCAGGGGGCGAAAAUUUUUCCCCCACAGGCGAAAAAUUUUCCCCCACAGGCGAAAAAUUUUCCCCCACUGACUUCAUCCUUCCUGUUCCGCAAAGGACUGUGGCUGUCUGCGUGAUUAUCGCAGUUUUCCUAUUCUCCAUCUUCAAAGAUUAUCCGGAGGGAUUUUGAAGCAUAUGGCGGCAUCCUGAUCUUCUGAGAGAUUUAGGCCUUAUCAAUUACGCCUCCGGGGAAGAAUGGCGACUGAUAGGGAGACUAAAAAGAAAAGAAAAAGAAAAAUGUUAAUUUGUAAUGGAAGAGAUGUUAUUAAAAAUGGAUACAAUUAA
This is a long non-coding RNA of Penaeus monodon (black tiger shrimp), 537 nucleotides long. RefSeq lists it as uncharacterized. Lineage: Eukaryota; Metazoa; Arthropoda; Malacostraca; Decapoda; Penaeidae. The record is from RefSeq and is a predicted model, not a curated record. The transcript is spliced from 2 exons.